UACGGAGGGUGCGAGCGUUAUCCGGAAUUACUGGGCGUAAAGCGUGCGCAGGCGGCUUUGCAAGACAGGUGUGAAAUCCCCGGGCCUAACCUGGGAACUGCAUUUGUGACUGCAUAGCUAGAGUCUGUCAGAGGGGGGUGGAAUUCCACGUGUAGCAGUGAAAUGCGUAGAGAUGUGGAAGAACACCGAUGGCGAAGGCAGCCCCCUGGGAUAAGACUGACGCUCAUGCACGAAAGCGUGGGGAGCAAAC
RNAcentral lists this ribosomal RNA (250 nucleotides) under uncultured bacterium. Its description in RNAcentral is "partial 16S ribosomal RNA". It matches the Rfam family "Bacterial small subunit ribosomal RNA", at positions 524 to 773 of the family's 1533-position model. The record is from RNAcentral.